AUCUAGCUGACGAGUCCCAAAUAGGACGAAACGUGCGUCCUGUAU
This 45-nucleotide non-coding RNA is filed under the name Schistosoma margrebowiei. Lineage: Eukaryota; Metazoa; Platyhelminthes; Trematoda; Strigeidida; Schistosomatidae. The record is from RNAcentral.